RNAcentral lists this long non-coding RNA (304 nucleotides) under Physcomitrium patens. RNAcentral's name for it is "long non-coding RNA (PPAT_LNC015019)". The record is from RNAcentral. Lineage: Eukaryota; Viridiplantae; Streptophyta; Bryopsida; Funariales; Funariaceae.
CAAAGAACCCCGAACAACCCAAACUGCUAAUCUUCGGUUCCGCUUUAUACUCACGAUCUUGUAACCACUGACUGUCUCGUUAGAUUAACCCAAUAAAUUUCAUUCACUCCGCAUACUCAAUCCUAUAGACACCCUUUUAAUUCUUCAUCAUAGACGUAACUCGAUUUUACAAAACAGUCAAGAGUAAUCACACCCACUUCAUUAAAAUCCCGAUUCACCAGUACAACACUGACUUCAGCAAUGAUUGCCUCAGUCUUCCCAAAAUCCUAUGAAGAAAAAAAAAAUCCAAUUCUCUAUCUUUUUU